UAAAAAGAUACAUUUCAUAUAGCUGAUCACAUUAUACAAUAUUCUCUUUUGACAAUGGGGAACUUUUGGUAUAAGCCAAAAGAAUCUUUGUGCACCCCCACUGGGUUUUCCGAUUAAUUGAAUAGCUGCAGCAGGAGUGAUUAUUUAAGUUGAGUUUUUCUUUGCUUUCGGUUAAAUACAUGGUACCUGCAGAAGCAUUUUGUGUUGUGUGUAUUCAUUAAUUACUGCCCAUCAGCUCCAGUAGCAUUCCUAAAUCUUCUGAUUAAUAAUAACCUGAUAUUUCAUUCAAUACCUAGCCUGUAUUAAUUCAUUAGCGCUUCAUCAGUGUUACACAAGGAGCAGACGGCUGAGUUUAUUAAACUCCACCGAGACAGCGGUGACACAAAUCUGAAGGCCAGACCGUCACAGCCGCUCACUUCCGGCCUACCCGACCUUUGGAGGACCCGGCCCACGUAGACCUUGAAGGCCGGGUCCUCAGGAGGAUGCCGCCUGUGAAUUUGGACACGCCAUGACACAUGAUGUUCUACACCUGAUGUGUUUAAAUGAGCUCUACAGGUGAACAGACUUAUUAACGUUAGCAGCAUAGUAAACUGUCCUGUGACUGAAGGCCCAACAAGGACGUGGUGCUGAAUGCAUCCAGACCCCUGCUGACUGUCUUUGCAGCUUCGGUCACAGGUACAGUGUCCAUGUGACCCUGAGAGCAGGAUACAGCCAGAGGUGAGUCAGCAGUUACAAACUAAAUGCUGCUGACAUGAAUCAAACAGCUGGAUAACCCACUGGUCAUGAAAACGGCACCUUUCUGUCAAUCAGUCAAAUCCAGAGAUUGUGACUCUGAUGGUCAAAGACCAAGAGGGGACAGAAACCUGGAAAUCAUCUGUUUACCUGCAGGUCAGCGUCCUGUUACAUGUCUGUUAUCUUUGUUCCUUCAGCACCAAGAACAGAAACCUUAAUGAGGAGUGUCCCAGCUGAGGCCCGAGUCCCAGCAGCUGAGAGGCUGCUCACAGUUCGCUCACAGUUUAUUGAAAGAGUGUCUGAACCUGUUUUAAACCAACAUCUGGAUAAACUCCUGCAGCAGCGUGUUAUCAAUGAUCAGGAGAUGGAAUCAGUCAGAUCACAGCAGAUAAAGCACGAGACGUGAUGGACACGAGGAAGUGAAGCCAGCUCACUGCUGAUCGCUGCUCUGUGAGGAGGAUCGAUGCCUUUCCACAGAGCUGAACCUGGAUGAAGACAGACUUGGAAAGAGUCUGUGGAGCUGUGACCAUCAAUCUCAAAGACCACUGACAGAGUCAUUGUGAUCUUCAUGUGACGUGUUUUUAAACUGCACUUUAGUUCUGAAAGUGUCUCUCGUUAAAACCUGGACUCUGAUUAGAUGCUGAGCAGGACAUUGGAUGGACUGAAGCAGAGUCUGGGACCUCAGUAAUUAUUAGUGCACAAACCAGCAAAUAUGUGAAGCUCCAUUAAUGCUGAACCACAUCUACAGGUUGAAGAGCAACAGCUCAGGUUAUCUGGGACCAGCGUCAGUUUCCACCAAUAUAACUGAAGCUGUUUCUACCUGUAAUGCUGGAAUAACCUAUUGAAUCACAUGAUCAGUAUUUACUGAGGUUUAAACUCUCCUCUGUGCUUCUGCUUUGAGCAGCACGUUGUGCUUCUGCCUGUUUAAAUAAAGUUUUGCUGCCUGCUUUCUUA
Molecule: long non-coding RNA, 1686 nt
Organism: Oreochromis niloticus (Nile tilapia)
Lineage: Eukaryota; Metazoa; Chordata; Actinopteri; Cichliformes; Cichlidae
Exons: 2
Source: RefSeq, a predicted model, not a curated record